GGAGGAGCUGGAGGAUACGAGUUCGAGCGUGUGAUCCAAUUAUGAUGUAACGAAUGUAUCGUCGAUGGUCGACGAGCCACCACCGACAUACAACGUGCUUCGAGUGCUUGAACGUUUCGAGGACGUUACUACUACUACUACUACUACUACUAUUACAUCAACUACUAUUACUAUUAUAUACAGUUAGAUGUAUAGUACGCGUUUCCACUACCAAUAGGGUUGCUAGUACUACUUGCUAGGAGACACACGGGACCAACAUCAAACGUCCCUUUUCGUUGACGAGUGGCCCUUCAUUAAGAGUCGAUUGCUGGCACGCUUCGAUCGAAUGUCUCCUUGGAUUUCGCCUUCUACGGGAACGGCACAAACUGGUAAUAGACGAGUCAUUCGGUAAUUCAGUCAUUUUACUUUCAACGCUUUUGAGAAAGGAAAAGAAGGAAGGAAGGAAGGAAGGAAGGAAUUUCGUUUUCCUGUAAGCCCCAAGUAUCCCAUUAGCUCGAAUAUCGGUACUGUGUUCUGCGGCCUCGGCAAAGUGUUGCUUGAGGGAUAAAGAAUAAAAGGAAGAGAGAAAUAGAUAGA
Molecule: long non-coding RNA, 576 nt
Filed under: Polistes fuscatus (common paper wasp)
Lineage: Eukaryota; Metazoa; Arthropoda; Insecta; Hymenoptera; Vespidae
Description: uncharacterized LOC122516649
Source: RNAcentral